UAAAGGUUCAGUCCAUUUUUUUUAAACUUGUGUGUGUUGACAAGAGAUACAACGAACGGUUAACCCAAUGAGGGCAACUGAAUGUCCACAAACGUCACAUAAAAAAGGAAUCUUGCAAUAUCGUUUGGAUUAAAGAUGAGGUCGGGUCAAAUCUAUUUCUGUUAUCCCAUUGUAUCGCCGGUUUCCCCAUACUACAUUUUGGAACUGCCAUUAUAUAAGUAAGCAUAGUUUAAUUCCGGGUGUAAAGUUUCCGAUUUACCUGAUUAUUUAUACUCGGUGGAAAAAAUACACUGGUGCACUUUAUUCCGUCUGCAUUAAAUAUCAAGUCCCCAGUUUAGUCAGCAAAUGCAGCUUCUAAAAGGAAUAGAGUUUCAAAGAAGUAGAUCGUACGUCGGUGCUCCUUCUAAGUAGGUGCAAGGAUGGCAAAAAUGUUACUGAUUCUGAUCAUAGCUAUCGCUGUUUUGUCGAGUAUAGAAGCAGAAAGUUACAAAUGUCGGCAAAAGAGACAUAAGGCCAAUCAACGCCCAAGCGAAAAUUAUCUAGCUUAUAAAUUGGAAGAAAUCAAUCGCGAACAUGGCAUAGAGAAAGAAAAAGAACCGAGUGAUGAAGAGUAUGAAAAAGAAAGGGAAUUGGACAGACAAGCAAGCUACCAGGCUCCUGGACGGCUAUCAAUUUCAGAAACGCUCUACUGCUUGUUUAUAGUUCUUGUAUUGGCUGGCCCUAUAGUUUAUUUAAUCUUGUUCGUCGCCAGCAAGUAUGGCAGUGUAGGAGCACGACCAAAUACGUACCAAGAACAAACGUGGGAAUCAGUCGAUAGGAUGCAAACAAGUAAUACUAAUUUUAUGAAACAUAUGGACAUGUUAAAAAGGCAACGAGAGGAAAACGACAGAUUUUAUAAAUUCACGCAAAACGGAUUAAGUCCCAGAGCAUAAUUUUAGACACUGCGUUGCUGGAGUAUUGUGUUUGCAUUACUUGACGUAAACCGUGUACAAAUACACCUAAAGGCUUUUUAGUCUUAUACGAAAAAAAAAACCAAAAACAGUCAACUAAACAACUAACUUCCUGUUUGGGUCAAGUGACGCAAGAAAAAAGGUCAUAAGUAUUGACCUGAGGGUGGAAAACGUUUAAAAAGUGAACAUUUUGAAAUUUGUAUAGUUCAUGAUCCAAUUUUUUAAACACAAAUUAAAGUUAGAUUUUUUGUUUG
Mytilus californianus (California mussel) is the source of this 1204-nucleotide long non-coding RNA. RefSeq lists it as uncharacterized. NCBI's taxonomy places the organism in Eukaryota, Metazoa, Mollusca, Bivalvia, Mytilida, Mytilidae. The transcript is spliced from 3 exons. The record is from RefSeq and is a predicted model, not a curated record.